UGCGGAAUGGGCAUGCCGCAUCACAAGGGCCACCCAGAACUGGCUCAACUCCCAUCAAGCCAAGUUCCCAGAGGGGAUCACCCAGCUCGUCAUGCUAGAGCAUUUUUUCAAUGGGCUCCCCAAUGACACGGAUGGUGAGAGACCGCCAGCCCCACACCCAAGAAGUACUGGUAAGAGCUGCUGAAGCUGCUGAAGCUAACGGGGAAUCAGGGUUCGAUUCCGUAGAGGGAGCCUGAGAAACGGCUACCACAUCCAAGGAAGGCAGUAGGCGCGCAAAUUACUUACUCCCGACGCGGGGAGGUAGUGACG
This is a non-coding RNA of Pelobates cultripes (western spadefoot toad), 309 nucleotides long. Lineage: Eukaryota; Metazoa; Chordata; Amphibia; Anura; Pelobatidae. The record is from the annotation of a GenBank genome assembly.